AUACGUAGGUGGCAAGCGUUAUCCGGAUUUAUUGGGCGUAAAGCGAGCGCAGGCGGUUUUUUAAGUCUGAUGUGAAAGCCCUUGGCUCAACCAAGGAAGUGCAUCGGAAACUGGAGAACUUGAGUGCAGAAGAGGACAGUGGAACUCCAUGUGUAGCGGUGAAAUGCGUAGAUAUAUGGAAGAACACCAGUGGCGAAGGCGGCUGUCUGGUCUGUAACUGACGCUGAGGCUCGAAAGCAGUGGGUAGC
This 248-nucleotide ribosomal RNA is filed under the name uncultured bacterium. Its description in RNAcentral is "partial 16S ribosomal RNA". It matches the Rfam family "Bacterial small subunit ribosomal RNA", at positions 523 to 769 of the family's 1533-position model. The record is from RNAcentral.